RNAcentral lists this ribosomal RNA (440 nucleotides) under uncultured bacterium. RNAcentral describes it as "bacterial SSU rRNA". It matches the Rfam family "Bacterial small subunit ribosomal RNA", at positions 339 to 796 of the family's 1533-position model. The record is from RNAcentral.
AUACGGAAGGCAGCAGUGGGGAAUAUUGGGCAAUGGACGAAAGUCUGACCCAGCCAUGCCGCGUGAGUGAUGAAGGUUUUAGGGUUGUAAAGCUCUUUCGCCGAUGAAGAUAAUGACGGUAGUCGGAGAAGAAGCCCCGGCUAACUUCGUGCCAGCAGCCGCGGUAAUACGAAGGGGGCUAGCGUUGUUCGGAAUUACUGGGCGUAAAGCGAGCGUAGGUUGCUCGAUAUGUCAGUGGUGAAAUCCCGGGGCUCAACCCCGGAACUGCCAUUGAAACUGUCGAGCUGGAAUCUCAGAGGGGGUAGCGGAAUUCCAAAUGUAGGGGUGAAAUCCGUAGAUAUUUGGAGGAACACCGGUGGCGAAGGCGGCUACCUGGAUGAGUAUUGACACUGAGGCUCGAAAGCGUGGGGAUCAAACAGGAUUAGAAACCCGAGUAGUCC